GUUUCCAUAGUGUAGUGGUUAUCACGUUUGUUUUACACGCAAAAGGUCCCCCAGUUCGAAACUGGGUGCAAACA
Xyrauchen texanus (razorback sucker) is the source of this 74-nucleotide non-coding RNA. The record is from the annotation of a RefSeq genome assembly. NCBI's taxonomy places the organism in Eukaryota, Metazoa, Chordata, Actinopteri, Cypriniformes, Catostomidae.